Molecule: unclassified non-coding RNA, 625 nt
Filed under: Hevea brasiliensis (rubber tree)
Lineage: Eukaryota; Viridiplantae; Streptophyta; Magnoliopsida; Malpighiales; Euphorbiaceae
Source: RNAcentral
UCAAAAAUUGUAAAUUUUUUUAUAAUAUUUCCCUCUACAUCAUUUUAGGUCUCCUGACUUUUUUCUCACUUCUUCCACCACUAAUUUACCCCCAACAACUCAAAAUAUACAUGCCAAAUUGAUUCGAGGUAAUGGAGAAAUGAAAGCAUGCUAGACGGAAAGCAAACACAUGCGCAGCAUAUACAUUGGGAGAUAAGACGGAUUACAUGUAGACCAGUCAAGAGAUGGGACUGGUUGAAGCAGCAGCAACAAGGAAAAUUGGGCUACUCUUGAGCUAGUCAAAGUGAAUGGCACUGAUUGAAACUAAUUGUUAAUUAUAUAAGAGAAAUAAGAAUAAAUUCUUAUGUUAAUAUGUAAGAGAUAUUCCUCUUAGUUAACAACUUUAGGGAGGAUUCCUUGCCAGUCAGCCUCAACGUGCAUUCAACACCAAGGUACAAUCAGAAAAGGAUCUCCACACCUUAGAUUCUUCUAAAAAAGUUGGUCAUUGCUAAAGCAUGAUAACUUCUACUCAACCAUGUGUAAAAAUCUCAAACCAUAUCCUAGAAAACUAAUCAAGAUUAAAACUUAAAAAAUAAAGGCACAUAAUUCAAUAAACCUCAAUAAAAACACAUUUCAUAGGUUCUGG